RNAcentral lists this ribosomal RNA (450 nucleotides) under uncultured Thiobacillus sp. Its description in RNAcentral is "bacterial SSU rRNA". It matches the Rfam family "Bacterial small subunit ribosomal RNA", at positions 925 to 1382 of the family's 1533-position model. Lineage: Bacteria; Pseudomonadati; Pseudomonadota; Betaproteobacteria; Nitrosomonadales; Thiobacillaceae. The record is from RNAcentral.
ACAAGCGUGGAUGAUGUGGAUUAAUUCGAUGCAACGCGAAAAACCCUUACUACCCUUGACAUGUCCGGAAUCCUGCAGAGAUGCGGGAGUGCCCGAAAGGGAAUCGGAACACAGGUGCUGCAUGGCUGUCGUCAGCUCGUGUCGUGAGAUGUUGGGUUAAGUCCCGCAACGAGCGCAACCCUUAUCAUUAGUUGCUACGCAAGGGCACUCUAAUGAGACUGCCGGUGACAACCGGAGGAAGUGGGGAUGACGUCAAGUCCUCAUGGCCCUUAUGGGUAGGGCUUCACACGUCAUACAAUGGUCGGUACAGAGGGUUGCCAAGCCGCGAGGCGGAGCCAAUCCCACAAAGCCGAUCGUAGUCCGGAUUGUUCUCUGCAACUCGAGAGCAUGAAGUCGGAAUCGCUAGUAAUCGCAGGUCAGCAUACUGCGGUGAAUACGUUCCCGGGUCUU